RNAcentral lists this ribosomal RNA (870 nucleotides) under uncultured soil bacterium. RNAcentral describes it as "bacterial SSU rRNA". It matches the Rfam family "Bacterial small subunit ribosomal RNA", at positions 56 to 904 of the family's 1533-position model. The record is from RNAcentral.
UGCAAGUCGAACGCGAAAGUCCCGCAAGGGAUAAGUAGAGUGGCAAACGGGUGAGUAACGCGUGGGUGACCUGCCUUCGAGCGGGGGAUAACGUUCCGAAAGGGACGCUAAUACCGCAUGACAUCCUGUCUUUGAAGAGAUGGAGAUCAAAGCUGCGGAUCGCAAGACGUAGCACUCGAAGAGGGGCCCGCAUCCGAUUAGCUAGUUGGUGAGGUAACGGCUCACCAAGGCAUCGAUCGGUAGCCGGCCUGAGAGGGCGGACGGCCACACUGGGACUGAGACACGGCCCAGACUCCUACGGGAGGCAGCAGUGGGGAAUUGUUCGCAAUGGGCGCAAGCCUGACGACGCAACGCCGCGUGGAGGAUGAAGAUCUUCGGGUCGUAAACUCCUUUCGAUCGAGACGAAUUCCGUUGUGGUGAACAAUCACGACGGUUGACGGUACCGAGAGAAGAAGCCCCGGCUAACUCCGUGCCAGCAGCCGCGGUAAUACGGGGGGGGCAAGCGUUGUUCGGAAUUACUGGGCGUAAAGGGCUCGUAGGCGGCCAACUAAGUCAGACGUGAAAUCCCUCGGCUUAACCGGGGAACUGCGUCUGAUACUGGAUGGCUUGAGUGUAGGAGAGGGAUGCGGAAUUCCAGGUGUAGCGGUGAAAUGCGUAGAUAUCUGGAGGAACACCGGUGGCGAAGGCGGCAUCCUGGACUACUACUGACGCUGAGGAGCGAAAGCCAGGGGAGCAAACGGGAUUAGAUACCCCGGUAGUCCUGGCCCUAAACGAUGAAUGCUUGGUGUGACGGGUAUCGAUCCCUGUCGUGCCGAAGCUAACGCAUUAAGCAUUCCGCCUGGGGAGUACGGUCGCAAGGCUGAAACUCAA